CCCUUAGAUGUUCUGGGCCGCACGCGCGCUACACUGAUGCAUUCAACGAGUUCCUACCUUGGCCGAGAGGCCUGGGCAAUCUUUUGAACUUGCAUCGUGAUAGGGAUAGAUUAUUGCAAUUAUUAAUCUUGAACGAGGAAUUCCUAGUAAACGCAGAUCAUCAAUCUGCAUUGAUUACGUCCCUGCCCUUUGUACACACCGCCCGUCGCACCUACCGAUUGAAUGGUCCGGUGAAGCCUCGGGAUUGUGGUUAGUUUCCUUCAUUGGAAGUUAGCCGCGAGAACUUGUCUAAACCUUAUCAUUUAGAGGAAGGUGGAGUCGUAACA
RNAcentral lists this ribosomal RNA (326 nucleotides) under uncultured eukaryote. RNAcentral describes it as "partial 18S ribosomal RNA". It matches the Rfam family "Eukaryotic small subunit ribosomal RNA", at positions 1470 to 1796 of the family's 1831-position model. The record is from RNAcentral.